GGAAGAAACCUCAGACAGAUCGCCGGGGAGGCAGCGCGGGAUCCCAGCCUCAGGCGUGCGCGGACGGUGUGCGGAGUCUAGCUUUGUACCAGGCUGCAGUGCAGUAGUGCCAUCUCAGCUCACUGCAACCUCUGCCUCCAGGGUUCAAGCGAUUGUCCUGCCUCAGCCUCCCGAGUAGCUGGGAUUAGAGGCACAUGCCACCACACCCAGCUAAUGUUUGUAUUUUUAGUAGAUACGGGGUUUCAUCAUGUUGCGCAGGAUGGUCUCAAUUUCCUGACCUCGUGAUCCGCCCAUCUCGGCCUCCCAAAAUGCUGGGAUUACAGGCAUGAGCCACCAGAACCGGACAUGCUUUCCUUAAAAGCUAAAUAUUUUAGGCUUGUGUGCCAUUAGGCUCUGUUACAACUACUUAAUUCUGCUUUUGUAAUUCUAUAGCACCCAUUGAUAAUACAUAAACAAAUGAGCAUGAAUGUGUCUCAGUAAAAAUUUGUUCACAUAAACAGGCAGUCCACCCAUGAAGCUAUAGCUUGCUGACCCCUUGUUUAAACAAUCAAUUGAAUUCAAACAGAAAUAAAAGGAUCUUAUAUAUUUAACCAUGUUGAUACCAUUUCCAGUGCUUUUCAUUCUUCU
Molecule: long non-coding RNA, 627 nt
Filed under: Homo sapiens (human)
Lineage: Eukaryota; Metazoa; Chordata; Mammalia; Primates; Hominidae
Description: HSALNT0352399
Source: RNAcentral